Long non-coding RNA from Cyprinus carpio carpio, 3253 nucleotides. The record is from Ensembl. Lineage: Eukaryota; Metazoa; Chordata; Actinopteri; Cypriniformes; Cyprinidae.
ACCGGCUCAUCUGAAUCAUUGAAAAGAUUCACUUCCAAUGAAUGAAUCAUUAACGGAUCGGACAUCGCUCUAUAGUGCCAUCAACCUCCGCCCAUAAACUCUGCCACUUCCUCUUCACGUUUAAUUGCCUACAUACUCAAACAGAUGACACAUCUACCGACACCGAUGGCUGUGGGAAGAGGGAGACUUUCCAUUAAGGAUUCUUUGAGGAAAUGACUGGCUGAGUCGCAUUUCCGUGGUAAAGUGAAGAGCUUGCUGGGAAUGAUUAUUCUCGCUGACUAUAAUGAAACAAGCGGCGCUGGACGUGUAUUCAGUAUUACUUGCAGACAGAUGUGUUGAAGACCGUUCAUUAGAAGAAACUAUGAUACUCAUCCACUGAUGUUCAACUUCAUGAUCAAAACAAACGCACGUCGGACUGCGUCAACCCGACAAGGAUGGUCUGCGAUUUCUUGGAACUGCAAGGAUAUGAACUGACACAGGGGCUGGACUGACUUUUGUGCUGUGCUCUGUGAAACACAACUUAAAAACCAUACUCAAACUCUCAUACACACAUGCACAGUGAUACGCGUGGUGUUACAAGGGCGGAAAACAACGUGCCUACUAAUGAUGGCGUAGCCAGAAGAAACAACAUGUCCUUCCAGCACAGAUGGCAAGUUUCAUUGGGGAUCUUGCUUGUGAUGGCAGGCCUGGUGCUCUUUAUGACUAUGGAUAUGUACAUUGUUCUCAUUGGCAUGGCUAUAGUGUGUCUGGGUCUGUUUAUUCUCAUCCGUGCCUUCUGCACGGUGAUUAAAUCCAGUCAUGUAGCUGUGACGGGACACUUUCUUCUACACCCGCGAACAGGCACCCAAUAUACCCACCAUCAAGCCAUUGCGGUGCAAAGGAGGCUGGAUCGGAUCCGGAGGGCUACGGCAGAGCAGCACAGUUCAGUCCAAGUGCCUCCCACCUCAGACACCAGUCCACAGAGCCAACCUGCAACCCCUCCCCCCUGGCAAAUGGAGCCGCCACCAUCCUAUGAGACUGUUAUGAAGACCACUACAGCUAUGCCAGCAUUCCUGGAAAUGAAAAUAGUAAGAUUGCUCAAGCCAAUGCAACCUUUACCUGGGGGAAGGUCACCUUACUAAGGCCCAUUACAGGUUCAAUGGUCCAAAUCUCGGUUCUCCACUGACCCUGCGUCCUGUCACUCACUCCAGCCUCCACCUCUAUGGGGACACAUUCAUAAAGCUCCACCCUCUCACCGGUACUUUCCUCUGUUAACUAAACAUACCACCACUGGACUUCUAAGUUUCCUCCAUGGCAGAGAACAAGCCAUACCGUUAUGGGCUCAUCAUUCUGGGGAUGGCGUUUGUGGCGUUGGGUCUGUUCAUGAUUUCUGUAGAGAAGCCACAGGUGUUCGCCACGUUCUGCACUGCGGGAGUGAUAAUGGUGGUUAUGGGGACCGUCUGGUCGGUGUGUCAGUGUUACCCCAGGGUAAGGAGGGUGGGCUGUUACCACUGUUUCCUAAUAGAUGGAUUUCAUGUUUUAUGUUCACUGCAGAGAAUCAAGCAUGUGCAUAUAAUUUGUCUCUUUGUAGAAUUCAAGGUGACAAAACUAUGUUGGUGUAGCAUGGUAAAUAAAUGGAGUUGUCAAAGCAUAAUAUCAGAUCUUAGGUUAUUAAUACUCAAAGUUAGAGUUUGAAUUGUUUUACAUUUGAGUGUUUCACCUGUCCUACAGGUGACUGUCAUACUGCCAGAUAAAGAAAAGCUCUAUGGGGCUGGGAAACAGGACUUGAGUGCUGGAAGCUCAGAUGAAAAAAGUCCAACGAAACCAAUAGCAGCUCCUUUGGCUGGCUUCUGUGAUGAUGAAGUAGAAGAAACAUCGACAGAUCCAAAACUCCACACAGAGAACAAACACAGGGAGCGUGUCAUAGUACUCCAGACAUGUCGAAGUUCUCCCAGUGUUCUGGCCUGCUCCAGCACUCCUCUGACAGACAGAAGAACUCCACGAACAGACCCCAACAGAGAGAUGUACUAUGGGAAAGUGGAAGACUCAUGUUACUACACAUCUGAGUUGGAGAGUGAAUAGUUCCUGUUGAUCCUAAUGUCCAAAUCAUCAUCUACAUAUGACUUAAAACAAGAUUUGCCAGACACCUAUGUAGUAAUACUGUUUUUUUUAAUAACUUGUACAAUAACAAAACAUUUAUGCAUGUAAUUUGUCAUCACAUUUUACAUUAGGCUGUUAAUUAUGUUGAUGUCACAAGGUCUGGCCAUGAUUGUAUCAAAAGCAUAUGAUAAUAGAAUCUCUCUCAGGGAAAUAAGGCUGGAAAAAGUUUAGGUGAAGAAAUACUCGUGACCAUGACUCAUGUCACCACGAAGACCAAAGGACACUGAAAGAGGAACUGCCUGGUGUGAAGUUUUUAUUUUUUAUCUAUGAUGCUCCUUCAAAAGAGAUCCUUUACAUUUGAGACAGCACAAUAAUUAUAAUUCAUUUAUGUUUUAGAUUAUUUAAAUGUAGUGCAAUGUGUAAAACUGAUAAUUGUUGAGACAGUUCUAAAUAUUUUUAGUCAUGUAAAAAAUGGAUUUUGCAAUACUGAACAGGGAAUCAUCUCGGCCACAAAAUAUAAGUACUCACACACGAUAGUUUUUUUUCUGUCAUGGUGGGGACUUUCCAUUUAUGAGGUUCCAUUUGUGCCAAAAAGGAGUCAACUGCUUUGUGCUAUACAUUUCUCCAUGUCUUCGGUCAGUGCCUAUGUGUUGAGAUAAACAAAGAACAUACUUAUCAACAUUCAUAAAUUUAUGUCCUCUUGUUCUGUCAUCCACCUUGCCAAACAUGUUCUGUCCUUCAUAGAAGGCUAUUUCCAAAUAUGGUGUUCCAAUUGUGCCAAAAAGUGUAGACUACUUUGUACGAUACAUUUGUUUGUGACCAUUGUUAUUGCUGUUGUUUCAUUUGUGUUAUCUGUUCAUGUCGUCCUCCCUGUCAUGUGUUCAGAUCUGUUUUAUGCUAUAAGUUACUGCUCUCAGUGAACAUCUAGCAUUGUAUUUUAGAGUUAUCCAGGUAAACAAACAGAAUUAGACACCCCCUUUAUACUGAGCUAAUGGUAUUUUCUAUCCUCUAACCCUAACCAUGAACCUCACAAACAUUUCUGCAUUACACAUUAUGCAGGUGCUGGUCAUAUAAUUAGAAUAUCAUCAAAAAGUUGAUUUAUUUCACUAAUUCCAUUCAACAAGUGAAACUUGUAUAUUAUAUUCAUUCAUUACACACAGACUGAUAUAUUUCA